Octopus sinensis (East Asian common octopus) is the source of this 189-nucleotide long non-coding RNA. RefSeq lists it as uncharacterized. NCBI's taxonomy places the organism in Eukaryota, Metazoa, Mollusca, Cephalopoda, Octopoda, Octopodidae. The record is from RefSeq and is a predicted model, not a curated record. The transcript has 3 exons.
GAUCGAUGAAGGGAAACAGAAAAAAAAGAAUGCUUUCUAAUCGAUGUAUCAAUACCAACAGAUGACAAUGUUUCUCAAACAGAAACGGAGAAAUUUUCAAAAUACAAAGAUCUGGUAAUAGAGGUAACUCGAUCAUGGAAUCUAAAGACAAAAGCAAUUAGUAUCAUAAGUAGGCGCAUUAGGUACGAU